Molecule: long non-coding RNA, 1028 nt
Organism: Aricia agestis (brown argus)
Lineage: Eukaryota; Metazoa; Arthropoda; Insecta; Lepidoptera; Lycaenidae
Exons: 2
Source: RefSeq, a predicted model, not a curated record
UUUAUUUUCAUUAAAAUAAUAUGUAUUUUCAGAGGAUUUCGUAAGAAAAGUCGAAUAAAAUUGUCUUUGUUUUUUCGGUGAUAGAAACGCUCUCUCAUUGGUUGCAAUCGUAGUGACGUCACACGCAAGUAAACAAAGCUUCUUGACUGGAGUUUAGUACGCCGUUUACGUGAUAAAUAGUGUUUGAUUAGAUUUUUAUGUGAUUAUUCACAAUUUUCAUACAAUUUCUAGUACAAAUAUUAACUACGUUACUCACAACAGCUAUAAUAAUAUCUAAGAUGGACUCCAAUUACGUGCGAGCAGAUAACAGCAACCUACCUAAGAUCGAUCCAUUCAUGGUAGAACUAUUUUUUAAAAACAAUGCAGUUUAUUAUGCUUCUGAAGUAAGAAAUAUAAAAACAGUAGUGUCUGCAAGAGAGUCGUACGGUGAUGAUGCCGUUGGCUACGUUCAACUGUACCGCGACAAUGGGAUUUGUACAGUAAAAUGCAAAAUGUGCCCGGAACAUAAAGUGCGCACCAAAGCUUACAAUGUUACCCUGGUCGUAAAUGAAAAUGACGGUGUGAUAAUAAGCUGUGAGUGCCAUGACUGUGCGGCUUCAGCUGGCGGAUGUAAACACGCGGUAGCCUUUUUGAUGUGGGUCCAUCGUCGCAGCGAGGAACCAGCAUGUACAUCGGUCGAGUGUUACUGGAAGAAGCCUGUUCUGUCUAGAGUAGGAACCACUUUAAAGUUCAUCACUAUAGAACAAAUGACCAAGACCCCUGUUCCACACAGACCUAGCACAUCAGCACUAUACGAAGAUUUUAUUUUAGAAGCCAAAAAGAGAAAAAUUAACAACUGUGAAUUGCUAAAAUUUCAAGAUGAUUUUGUGCAUAGUGACAUUAUGAAAUACUCAUUACAUAGUUUUAUGAUAAAUCUACCUCAAGAAACUAAAAAUGAUAUAGACAUGCUCUUAGGCGUAACGAAAAGUACAUUCACAAGUGACAUUAUCAAAAGUGUAGAAGAAGCAACAAGGCAGCAGAAUAAAAGU